Oncorhynchus keta (chum salmon) is the source of this 3268-nucleotide RNA transcript. It is a transcript of the gene named rho GTPase-activating protein 24-like, with no coding region annotated. Lineage: Eukaryota; Metazoa; Chordata; Actinopteri; Salmoniformes; Salmonidae. The record is from RefSeq and is a predicted model, not a curated record. The transcript has 10 exons.
GAGAGAGAGAUCUGGACGGAGAAAGAACAAAUGUGAAGAGAAAAGCGAAGAUGCCGGAGAACAAGGCGACAGUGUACAGGACCAGCAGCUACCUGUCCCACUCUGCCUACAGGAAGAUCAAGCGGGUUCUGAGCUUCAGGAGGCGUGUGUUUGGCCAGCGGCUGGAGGAGACGGUUCUGUAUGAGCGGCGUUACGGGGUACACAUGGCACCGCUGGUGGUGGAGCAGUGUGUGGACUUCAUCCGGGGGCGGGGUCUUCUGGAGGUGGGAUUGUUCCGCCAGCCAGGUCAGGCCACGCUGGUUAAAGAGUUGCAGGAUGCCUUCGACGCUGGGGAGAAGCCCUCCUUUGACAGCAGUACAGACGUGCACACCGUGGCGUCGCUCCUGAAGCUGUAUCUGCGGGAGCUGCCAGAGCCACUGGUGCCCUUCUCCAGAUACCAGGACUUCCUGGUGUGUGGCAAGAAGAUCUCCUCUGAGACGAAGCAGAGUUUGACAGAACUACGGCAUCUUCUUCAUCAACUUCCAGUGGCUAACUUCAACCUGCUCAACUACAUCUGCCAGUUUUUGAACGAAGUCCAGUCCUAUUCUAGCAGCAACAAGAUGAGCACCCAGAACCUGGCUACUGUUUUUGGCCCAAACAUCCUACGACCCAAAGCUGAAGAUCCAGAGAGUAUCAUUGGAGGGGCAGCCGUGGUGCAGCAGCUUAUGUCCGAGCUGAUCAGGGAGCACCUGUGCCUUUUCUCCAGGGAGGGGGGAGACAUAGAGGCCCCUGGCUCUUCACGCCCUGACUCUUACCCAUGUCAGAGAUGGAAAGGAGACCCAUUCGAGGGGGCGCACAUCCAGCCAACAGCCCAGACCCAGUCGCAUGAUUACAGUCUGGGCAUAACAGCCGAGCACCUCCCCCAACAACAGCUAGCACACCAUCCUUCCCCUUGCUCCCGCCAGCUCUCCCUGCCUCUGAUCCCUAAGAGGAGAGGUUCGGCCCAAAACCCAGAUGAAACCAGCUUAGCCACACGGCUGUCCAUCACAGACCACCAGCAGCAGCCAGCUGAGAUGUUCUCUCCAGUGAGUCUUGCUUCUGGGCCUCUGUACCACAGACACACUCUGUCCCAGUCAGAGUCCCAGCCCACUGAGACCGCAGACAGCCCCCACCCUGCCUCCCAACUCACAGAAUCUGCAUCCACAGUGACGCUACAGGCAGCCCCAGAACCCAGCAGCAUGCUGCUCGUUGGCUGGAGGGGCCCAGAGGAUCCCAGCUGGGCUGCAGAACAGGGGACUACUGGCACCAGUGGUAGCAGUGAGGCUCAGGACAGUACUCUGUCUGUCUAUGACAACCUGGACACACAACAACGCAUGGAGGAGGUGGCUGCGGAUGGUGGUGGGGGCAGCCCUGCUGGCCCAGUGGAGGUGGGCACGACCAGCAUGGUAGACACCAGAAGCUCCUGGUCUUCCUGUGAGAUUCUGUCCCUGGAAGACAAUGGGUGUGGUGUGGUCAGAACCAGCCCAGGACGGGGGUCCACUAGAUUCCCCUCCUUCAGGACUGACCCAGGAGACGAGGACCUCCCUCCUAACUCCCCAGUCUCCUCCUCUGCCCUCACUGAUGCCCCCCUGAGCACGGGCAGCUCGGAGGUCUUCCUGCCCUCUGCUCCUCCAGACCUCCGCGUCCCCCCGGCCUCCCAGGCCAUGCACUGGCUCUUGACUGGCCUCAGACAACAGAUGGCCAGGCAGAGGGCUGAGUUCGAGGCCAAGAUCCAGAGGUUGGAGAUGCGUAACGAGGCCCUCCAGGGGGAGGUGGUGGGACUGCGGACCAGCCUGGAGCAGCAGCGUCGCUGGCACAGUGUGGCCGAGAUCAAGAUCCGCAACGUGGAGCGUGCCAGGGCCGAUGCCGACCGCCGCAACACCACUCUGCAGAGGGAGAUGGAGCAGUUCUUUGAUACCUUCGGAGAGCUGAACGCUGAGGCCCGGAAGAGCGAAGGUUAGGGUUAGCACCCCUGGAGAGCUGAGCGCUGAGGCCAGGAAGAGCGAAGGUUAGGGUUAGCACCCCUGGAGAGCUGAGCGCUGAGGCCAGGAAGAGCGAAGGUUAGGGUUAGCACCCCUGGAGAGCUGAACGCUGAGGCCAGGAAGAGCGAAGGUUAGGGUUAGCACCCCUGGAGAGCUGAACGCUGAGGCCAGGAAGAGCGAAGGUUAGGGUUAGCACCCCUGGAGAGCUGAACGCUGAGGCCAGGAAGAGCGAAGGUUAGGGUUAGCACCCCUGGAGAGCUGAGCGCUGAGGCCAGGAAGAGCGAAGGUUAGGGUUAGCACCCCUGGAGAGCUGAGCGCUGAGGCCAGGAAGAGCGAAGGUUAGGGUUAGCACCCCUGGAGAGCUGAACGCUGAGGCCAGGAAGAGCGAAGGUUAGGGUUAGCACCCCUGGAGAGCUGAACGCUGAGGCCAGGAAGAGCGAAGGUUAGGGUUAGCACCCCUGGAGAGCUGAACGCUGAGGCCAGGAAGAGCGAAGGUUAGGGUUAGCACCCCUGGAGAGCUGAGCGCUGAGGCCAGGAAGAGCGAAGGUUAGGGUUAGCACCCCUGGAGAGCUGAGCGCUGAGGCCAGGAAGAGCGAAGGUUAGGGUUAGCACCCCUGGAGAGCUGAACGCUGAGGCCAGGAAGAGCGAAGGUUAGGGUUAGCACCCCUGGAGAGCUGAACGCUGAGGCCAGGAAGAGCGAAGGUUAGGGUUAGCACCCCUGGAGAGCUGAACGCUGAGGCCAGGAAGAGCGAAGGUUAGGGUUAGCACCCCUGGAGAGCUGAACGCUGAGGCCAGGAAGAGCGAAGGUUAGGGUUAGCACCCCUGGAGAGCUGAGCGCUGAGGCCAGGAAGAGCGAAGGUUAGGGUUAGCACCCCUGGAGAGCUGAACGCUGAGGCCAGGAAGAGCGAAGGUUAGGGUUAGCACCCCUGGAGAGCUGAACGCUGAGGCCAGGAAGAGCGAAGGUUAGGGUUAGCACCCCUGGAGAGCUGAGCGCUGAGGCCCGGAAGAGCGAAGGUUAGGGUUAGCACCCCUGGAGAGCUGAACGCUGAGGCCAGGAAGAGCGAAGGUUAGGGUUAGCACCCCUGGAGAGCUGAGCGCUGAGGCCAGGAAGAGCAAGCAUUUCUUACAGAGCUUCUGAUGGCCAGUCAGAUUAGAGAAAGAUGCCAUUAUCAGAGCACUACAAGAGCAGUAUCAGGAGAAAACACCAACCAUCUGAAUAGAAUAUAGAGAGAACUGUCUGUUGCCAUGAUUCAUCCAUAUUGGAUUUG